This 410-nucleotide ribosomal RNA is filed under the name uncultured Desulfobulbus sp. RNAcentral's name for it is "bacterial SSU rRNA". It matches the Rfam family "Bacterial small subunit ribosomal RNA", at positions 977 to 1382 of the family's 1533-position model. The record is from RNAcentral. Lineage: Bacteria; Pseudomonadati; Thermodesulfobacteriota; Desulfobulbia; Desulfobulbales; Desulfobulbaceae.
GGUCUUGACAUCCCGGAGACCCUUAGGAAACUAGGGGGUGCUUCCAUCUGGAAGAAUCUGGAGACAGGUGCUGCAUGGCUGUCGUCAGCUCGUGUCGUGAGAUGUUGGGUUAAGUCCCGCAACGAGCGCAACCCUGCCUUUAGUUGCCAGCAGUUCGGCUGGGCACUCUAAAGGGACUGCCGGUGUUAAACCGGAGGAAGGUGGGGAUGACGUCAAGUCCUCAUGGCCUUUAUGACCAGGGCUACACACGUACUACAAUGGCCGAUACAAAGGGCAGCGACACUGCGAGGUGAAGCCAAUCCCGUAAAAUCGGUCUCAGUCCGGAUUGGAGUCUGCAACUCGACUCCAUGAAGUUGGAAUCGCUAGUAAUCGUGGAUCAGCAUGCCACGGUGAAUACGUUCCCGGGCCUU